Long non-coding RNA from Aedes albopictus (Asian tiger mosquito), 2220 nucleotides. RefSeq lists it as uncharacterized. NCBI's taxonomy places the organism in Eukaryota, Metazoa, Arthropoda, Insecta, Diptera, Culicidae. The transcript is spliced from 3 exons. The record is from RefSeq and is a predicted model, not a curated record.
UGUUCGAAAAUUCCUCACCUAUACCAUCAAAAGUCUUUCAAGAAAUUCGAUUGCAAUUUCUUUUACGAAAAGUUUUUUGACCGACCUAAAAUCGAACCCAAAUCUGUGACUAUAUGGGUGCCUUCACUGUUCACCUCAGACUAUUCAUUGCAUGCUGCUCUCUGCGAACUUCUCAAUUUUCACUGCUCAUUCCUCACUACUCACUUCUCACUCUUCACUGUAUACUUUUUACUUCACACUACUGACUUCUCUCUCCUUUCUCUUCACUGAUUACCACUAAAUGGGGUAAUUCCUCACUAUUCACUCCUCUCUGCAUGUCAAUCUUCGUUCUUGCUUUGUUUUUUUUUUCAAUAUUCCUUAUUCCUUACAGCACUUCUCACUCCUCACUGCCCCACAUUCUUUACUUUUUACUGGUUAUUUCUCACAGCUUUUUCCUACUUCUCAUUCCAAAUUCUAUACUGUUCAGUCCUUAGUCCUCACUCUUCACUGCUCACUCUUUAACAGCUUCUAAGGUAUGCUAGAUCGCCAGUUUUUCCACUCAUAUAUGAAAAAUAGUUAUGGAAUCACAUUUGAGCUCUGUGCAAAACUUUUUGCCACUACUGAUGCAAAGGAGAAUCUAUCAUACCUAAGAGAACUGUCAUCUAUACUUGAAGUUGCUUCUUUCCCACUCUUCAGUCCUCAUCGUUUGUGGAUAAGCUUUUGAAGAAAAAGAACAAAAUGGCUUGAUGUUGCUUUCAUACAGCUUUUGAACAAGGGAAACUAGCCAAGAGCGCGUGGUUCCUACGUAAAAAUAUACCAACUAGCGAUAAGAAGUUGAAUCGCCAAAAAGUAACAUGGAACAACUAUGCUGCUUAUGACUGAACAGGACGCAAACAGGAUCAUAUCACAAACAUGCGCAGCCCAUUUUCGAUUCAUUUGGCAAACCACCGCCAUCAGUCAAUUACAAAUUGUAAGUUGUUCGAACCUCCUGGAACAGAUAAUUGAAUUUGCUUUGGCAACACCUUUUAAGCACAGUCAAAAAUCCAUUAAUCCAGUCCGAAAGUGACAGACAGACAGACGUUUCGCGCCGACCCGACAUCAACCAGCCGAUGACAAUCAAUCGAUGACGACGCCCGUCGCCAUGAUCCGGGAUAUCCAAGGACUCCCGCAGCGGCGUUUGAUCACCUCGUCACGCCACACGGACAGCUAAUUCUUAUCCUCCAAGUGUCAAAUUAGCACCAGAUUAGCUUCGGCGCCUGGUUUCCCAAAAGCAGAUCAUAUCUUAUGGGUUCUCCGCACUUGCGCGCUCACGGUGCGGUGCUAUGUCAGAGAGGCAGGUACGACUCGUACGAGAGAUCUUGUCUUAAUUGAUACUUCAGCAGCGCACACCGACGACGACGACGGUGUGAAGACUCUUCAACGCGAAUCGAUCCGUGUAUAGUAGUACUCAAGUAGUUUCGCGAAGUCAGUCAUCGAGUGGAUGGUGGUGAGUGUGCUUCGGCAGUUUUUCAAGAAACCUGUUUGUGAGGUGUUCUGCUUUGUAAUUCGCCGAUUCUGCUGCGCUGGUAUCCUGAGCUACGUUGAAUGCGGUGUUUUAAUUAAAUCAUCAGAAGGACAGUUCGAGAUAGAACGUAAUAAGCUCAAAAAGCAACAUCAUAUGCGAUGACAAUUGUCCCUCCCUACUACUUAUGCGAUAGUAACAUAAAAUAGUACUUAAUACGAUGUACUGCAUGUAUCCUUAUACGACUUCUGGUUGUCUGGGCCACAGUCACGAACACGCUGGCUCCACGCUGUUGAAUGAGACCCGGGAAUCUUAAACAUUCGGAGAAACUGGAGAUGGAUCGCCCAAGACCGACAAAGACCGUGGUGUACUAUCAGGACUGGAUAAGAGUCACAAGCUACAAGGCUAGUUCAUCUCGGGACCCACGCUUUACUUCCCUUCCGAAGGCAGAACUCACAUUUUGUGAGUUUGUCGGGAGUGGGAUUCGAUCCCAGUUCCUCGGCGUGAUAGUCACGUGCUUUAACCAUAACACCAGGUUCGCUCCGACUAAGUUACUUAGUUUUAUAAUUGAGGAGUCGAAAUACUCAACUAACUAUUUUGGAUAAUGCCUGUAAUUGAAAUGCUUCAAUCAACGUUAGUAUCCAUUUUAAAGUGUUCUGUUUUUUUUACUUUUGUUUUUGUUUUCAUUUGUUUUGAGAAAUGGCAACUUUUUAAUAAAAGUAAAAUUAUACAGCACUGUU